Non-coding RNA from Acanthopagrus latus (yellowfin seabream), 571 nucleotides. NCBI's taxonomy places the organism in Eukaryota, Metazoa, Chordata, Actinopteri, Spariformes, Sparidae. The record is from the annotation of a RefSeq genome assembly.
GACAUAACUGAAGCAUUUCCAUAGAGAGCCACUUUGCAUCAGCAGCACCAUGCUCCAGUGCUCUGGGAGAGUUUAUAGUCCUGAGAGUUGAACACUGGAUGACUGACAGCUGUCCUUCAUGACAACAGAAGACACAGAAAUCCUCCUCAUCAAAAACAUGACUUUGACCUGCGUCCUCAUCUGGACUCUCCUCUGCUGCUGCUUCACAGAGUCCAGAGGUCAGAUCACAGUGACUCAGCCUGCAGCAGUGAGCUCUGCUCUGGGAGGCUCCGUCACCAUCAGCUGUAGGACCAGUCACAGGGUAGAUGAUGGAGAGGAUCUAUCGUGGUACCAACAGCGAGAUGGAGAAACUCCAAAACUUCUCAUUUACACAACUAGCAAUAGAGCAUCAGGGAUUCCAGAUCGUUUCACAGGUAGUGGAUCAAACUCUGCCUUCACUCUGAGCAUCACUGGAAUUCAGGCUGAAGAUGCAGCAGUUUACUACUGUAUGGGGGAAUUCUAUGUCAACAGUCAGUGGGUGUUCACACAGUGAAAAACCAUCGUACAAAAACCUCCCUCAGUCAGACUGAAC